Molecule: ribosomal RNA, 538 nt
Filed under: uncultured Orbiliaceae
Lineage: Eukaryota; Fungi; Ascomycota; Orbiliomycetes; Orbiliales
Description: eukaryotic LSU rRNA
Rfam family: Eukaryotic large subunit ribosomal RNA (bases 289-538)
Source: RNAcentral
GCAGCGAAACGCGAUAGUUAAUGUGAAUUGCAGAAUUCAGUGAAUCAUCGAGUCUUUGAACGCACAUUGCGCCCAUUGGUAUUCCUUUGGGCAUGUCUGUUUGAGCGUCAUUACAACUCCUCAGCUAACGCUGGUUUUGAACCGGGACAGGUUGACACCCGCACCGGUUUUAAAGUUGUAAGCUCUGCUGGCUGCUCUGCCCCAACCGGAACAUAGUAAAAACUACUACUUGUUAAGGCGAGGCGAAGCGGUACGGCCUGAACAAAACCUACCCAUUUUUCUAAGGUUUGACCUCAGAUCAGACAAGGAUACCCGCUGAACUUAAGCAUAUCAAUAAGCGGAGGAAAAGAAACCAACAGGGAUUGCCUCAGUAACGGCGAGUGAAGCGGCAACAGCUCAAAUUUGAAAUCUGGAGCCUUCGGCUUCCGAGUUGUAAUUUGAAGAGGAUGUUUCGGUGCGGCCUGGGCCUAAGUUCCUUGGAACAGGACGUCAUGGAGGGUGAGAAUCCCGUACAUGGCUGCAGGCUUGCUUCUAUGUG